CUGCCAAUUGAUAUUUUAUCGUGUGUUUUUCUAUGUUGUGAUGUUAUGCUAUUGUUUCAGAAAAAGGGAGAAGGUCCGCUGCAAAUGUUUGCACCUGUCCUAAGUCAGGAAUCUGAUGUACAGUAGUUGCCGUUUGUUUAUGUAAUAUAUACGUGUUUCUCGUGUUUUUUUUAUAUAGAUUAUAUAUAGACCGUUGGUUUUCCCGUUUGAAUGGUUUUACACUAG
Molecule: long non-coding RNA, 225 nt
Filed under: Mytilus galloprovincialis (Mediterranean mussel)
Lineage: Eukaryota; Metazoa; Mollusca; Bivalvia; Mytilida; Mytilidae
Source: RNAcentral